Molecule: ribosomal RNA, 462 nt
Filed under: uncultured Variovorax sp.
Lineage: Bacteria; Pseudomonadati; Pseudomonadota; Betaproteobacteria; Burkholderiales; Comamonadaceae
Description: bacterial SSU rRNA
Rfam family: Bacterial small subunit ribosomal RNA
Source: RNAcentral
ACCCGCACAAGCGGUGGAUGAUGUGGUUUAAUUCGAUGCAACGCGAAAACCUUACCCACCUUUGACAUGUACGGAACUCGCCAGAGAUGGCUUGGUGCUCGAAAGAGAACCGUAACACAGGUGCUGCAUGGCUGUCGUCAGCUCGUGUCGUGAGAUGUUGGGUUAAGUCCCGCAACGAGCGCAACCCUUGUCAUUAGUUGCUACAUUUAGUUGGGCACUCUAAUGAGACUGCCGGUGACAAGCCGGAGGAAGGUGGGGAUGACGUCAAGUCCUCAUGGCCCUUAUAGGUGGGGCUACACACGUCAUACAAUGGCUGGUACAGAGGGUUGCCAACCCGCGAGGGGGAGCUAAUCCCAUAAAACCAGUCGUAGUCCGGAUCGCAGUCUGCAACUCGACUGCGUGAAGUCGGAAUCGCUAGUAAUGGCGGAUCAGCAUGCCGCCGUGAAUACGUUCCCGGGCCUU